GACGAACGCUGGCGGCGUGCCUAAUACAUGCAAGUAGAACGCACAGUUUAUACCGUAGCUUGCUACACCAUAGACUGUGAGUUGCGAACGGGUGAGUAACGCGUAGGUAACCUGCCUGGUAGCGGGGGAUAACUAUUGGAAACGAUAGCUAAUACCGCAUAAUAUUAAUUAUUGCAUGAUAAUUAAUUGAAAGGUGCAAUUGCACCACUACCAGAUGGACCUGCGUUGUAUUAGCUAGUAGGUGAGGUAACGGCUCACCUAGGCGACGAUACAUAGCCGACCUGAGAGGGUGAUCGGCCACACUGGGACUGAGACACGGCCCAGACUCCUACGGGAGGCAGCAGUAGGGAAUCUUCGGCAAUGGACGAAAGUCUGACCGAGCAACGCCGCGUGAGUGAAGAAGGGUUUCGGAUCGUAAAGCUCUGUUGUAAGAGAAGAACGGGUGUGAGUGUGGAAAGUUCACACUGUGACGGUAUCUUACCAGAAAGGGACGGCUAACUACGUG
Molecule: ribosomal RNA, 505 nt
Filed under: uncultured bacterium
Lineage: Bacteria
Description: partial 16S ribosomal RNA
Rfam family: Bacterial small subunit ribosomal RNA
Source: RNAcentral